Molecule: ribosomal RNA, 253 nt
Filed under: uncultured bacterium
Lineage: Bacteria
Description: partial 16S ribosomal RNA
Rfam family: Bacterial small subunit ribosomal RNA
Source: RNAcentral
UACGUAGGCAGCGAGCGUUGUUCGGAAUUACUGGGCGUAAAGAGUGUGUAGGCGGUGUUCCCAGUCUGUUGUGAAAUCUCCCGGCUUAACUGGGAGGGUGCAGCGGAAACUAGAAUGCUAGAGGGUGGGAGAGGUAAGCGGAAUUCCUGGUGUAGCGGUGAAAUGCGCAGAUAUCGAGAGGAACACCUGCGGCGAAGGCGGGUUGCUGGGCCGACACUGACGCUGAUGCGCGAAAGCCAGGGGAGCGAACAGG